Molecule: transfer RNA, 66 nt
Filed under: chicken gut metagenome
Rfam family: tRNA
About the family: Transfer RNA (tRNA) molecules are approximately 80 nucleotides in length.
Source: RNAcentral
GCUGUAGCUCAGUGGAUAGAGCGACCGCCUCCUAAGCGGUAGGCCGGAGGUUCGAAUCCUCUCAGC